This 400-nucleotide ribosomal RNA is filed under the name uncultured bacterium. Its description in RNAcentral is "partial 16S ribosomal RNA". It matches the Rfam family "Archaeal small subunit ribosomal RNA", at positions 473 to 873 of the family's 1478-position model. The record is from RNAcentral.
AAACCAGCUCUUCAAGUGGUUGGGACUUUUACUGGGCUUAAAGUGUCCGUAGCCGGUUUGGUAAGUCCCUGGUUAAAUCUGGCAGCUUAGCUGUCAGUCCGCUAGGGAUACUGCUUUACUAGAGGGCGGGAAAGGUCUGAGGUACUCCAGGGGUAGCGGUGAAAUGCGAUAAUCCUUGGGGGACCACCAGUGGCGAAAGCGGCAGAAUGGACCGCGCCCGACGGUGAUGGACGAAAGCCAGGGGAGCGAACGGGAUUAGAUACCCCGGUAGUCCUGGCCGUAAACGAUGCACGCUAGAUGUUGGUAGGGCUAUGAGCUGUAUCAGUGCCGUAGGGAAACCGUUAAGCGUGCCGCCUGGGUAGUACGUUCGCAAGUAUGAAACUCAAAGGAAUUGACGGGG